Pyrus x bretschneideri (Chinese white pear) is the source of this 494-nucleotide long non-coding RNA. RefSeq lists it as uncharacterized. Lineage: Eukaryota; Viridiplantae; Streptophyta; Magnoliopsida; Rosales; Rosaceae. The transcript has 2 exons. The record is from RefSeq and is a predicted model, not a curated record.
CGCAAGUGUGUUGAUGCAUGCUAUGGAACCGACAGGAAACAUGUACAUGGCUGUUCAAGGGUCAACCAAAGCAGUAAUGGUGCUCUUCGCUAUGCUCUUCAUCUCCGUUUCAUAUGCCCUUUUCCUAAAAAAAGUUCUCGGUCAGUCCAGAGGUGCAAAUCAGAUCCCCUAUCAACACCACAAAGAACAGGCUUAGACAUGGAUGGGGAGCGCAGGUUCUACCUGUACAAUGACUUGAGGGUCGUGUUCCCUCAACGCCACUCAGACGCUGACGAGGGAAAGUUGAACGUGGAAUAUCAUUUCCCGGAUGAUCCGAAGUACUUCGACAUCAACUGAAAAGUCUAAUUUAGCAUUUCCCUUGUUUUUGUUUACUGUAUUCCUCUGUGUACAUAUUCUCACAUAUACAUACACAUAUAUCGUUGGUCAUUUCAUCUCAAAUGACACUAACCCUGUUCUACCUUUGUCCAAAUUAAUAAAAAUUGAAUUAGGUUGAA